This 490-nucleotide ribosomal RNA is filed under the name beta proteobacterium enrichment culture clone LiUU-12-50. RNAcentral's name for it is "bacterial SSU rRNA". It matches the Rfam family "Bacterial small subunit ribosomal RNA", at positions 340 to 823 of the family's 1533-position model. Lineage: Bacteria; Pseudomonadati; Pseudomonadota; Betaproteobacteria. The record is from RNAcentral.
UACGGGAGGCAGCAGUGGGGAAUUUUGGACAAUGGGCGCAAGCCUGAUCCAGCAAUGCCGCGUGCAGGAUGAAGGCCUUCGGGUUGUAAACUGCUUUUGUACGGAACGAAACGGUCUACUCUAAUACAGUGGGCUAAUGACGGUACCGUAAGAAUAAGCACCGGCUAACUACGUGCCAGCAGCCGCGGUAAUACGUAGGGUGCGAGCGUUAAUCGGAAUUACUGGGCGCAAAGCGUGCGCAGGCGGUUAUAUAAGACAGAUGUGAAAUCCCCGGGCUCAACCUGGGACCUGCAUUUGUGACUGUAUAGCUAGAGUACGGUAGAGGGGGAUGGAAUUCCGCGUGUAGCAGUGAAAUGCGUAGAUAUGCGGAGGAACACCGAUGGCGAAGGCAAUCCCCUGGACCUGUACUGACGCUCAUGCACGAAAGCGUGGGGAGCAAACAGGAUAGAUACCCUGGUAGUCCACGCCCUAAACGAUGUCAACUGGUUGU